RNAcentral lists this ribosomal RNA (616 nucleotides) under uncultured bacterium. RNAcentral's name for it is "bacterial SSU rRNA". It matches the Rfam family "Bacterial small subunit ribosomal RNA", at positions 338 to 947 of the family's 1533-position model. The record is from RNAcentral.
CCUACGGGAGGCAGCAGUCGAGAAUCUUCGGCAAUGGGCGCAAGCCUGACCGAGCGACGCCGCGUGUGGGAUGAAGGCCUUCGGGUUGUAAACCACUGUCAGAGGGGAUGAAAUGCAGGUGGGUUCUCCCAUCUGUUUGACAUAGCCUCAGAGGAAGGACGGGCUAAGUUCGUGCCAGCAGCCGCGGUAAGACGAACCGUCCGAACGUUAUUCGGAAUCACUGGGCUUAAAGGGUGCGUAGGCGGCGCGGAAAGUUGGGUGUGAAAUCCCUCGGCUUAACCGAGGAACUGCGCCCAAAACUACCGUGCUCGAGGGAGAUAGAGGUGAGCGGAACUUAGGGUGGAGCGGUGAAAUGCGUUGAUAUCCUAAGGAACACCGGUGGCGAAAGCGGCUCACUGGAUCUCUUCUGACGCUGAGGCACGAAAGCUAGGGUAGCGAACGGGAUUAGAUACCCCGGUAGUCCUAGCCGUAAACGAUGAGCACUGGAUUGGAGGGUCCUCCAUAGCCUUCCAGUCGCAACGAAAGCGUUAAGUGCUCCGCCUGGGGAGUAUGGUCGCAAGGCUGAAACUCAAAGGAAUUGACGGCUGAGACGNGCGAGCGACGACGAGGGAGGAGG